ACCGGAUAGGAAACAUGACCAGAUGAGCUCAUUCUACUUUAUUGUAAGGCUACAUUGACAGAAUCUCGCAUGCCUGAAAGUACAAAUCUCCCGCUGUCUCCUUUACAGCCCAAGAACCUAGGGAGGGACCCUUCUGAGCCUCUUGCCCAGCCCAGUAUGCAGCUGCAGGCUGUGCCACCUCUUAUCUGACCGUUCCCUUGGCAGCACCUCUUGGCCCGCUCCCUCAAGGUCUUUCCCACAUGCCAUUACAUCCCUGCAAAACAUUGCCAUCCAUACCUCAUCAGAAUCUCAGCGAUGCGGAAUCCAAUGCCAGAGCCGCCUCCUGUGAUGAAAGCAACCUUACCCCUAGAAAGAAGAAGGGGACAUCUGGAAGCAGGAGCUACAGAGGCAGAAAUCCCACUUAUUUACAACCAUGAUCUGGAUGAUUACAAAUUCUGCAGGAGGAAGAGGAGGAGACGAGAAACAGGAUUUGGGGAGAAGAGGAAAGCGUAGCUGGUCUGCAGCUGCAGCUGCACCAAAUUUAAGGGUUUUCUUGCUAUUGUAGUAAUAUCAUCUAAUAAGUGAAUAAGGAACUGAGGUUUUGCACCCAGAUUAACAACAACUGUAUUUUUACUAACAUUUGGUAUUCAUGUGAUAUUCAAAGUAAUCUUCAAAAGACAGGAUCUUGCAUUAUGUCUCAAUAAUGUAUAACCAGCAUAUAUAAUUAAAGAAAGGUUCCCAGAAGCAGAGAGAGAAAAUUAUUGCAAGGUGGAGCUCCGAUGCAACCAGGAUAGCAUGGAAACGAGGACAUCUGAAACAAGCUUUCGAAACAGAAGGUGUUGAGACAAGCAAGCAUUUAAUCUUGAUUCCAUGCAGAACCUUCAUCUAAGGAUAGGACAAACAUCCCCUGGCAACCUCCCUCUGCCAUGUCCCCAUAGUGUUGCCUUCAUCUCAUCCCCAGUCCAUCCAAGAAGCAGCUUGACCUCAUCCUUAGUUGUGCUGGUGAUGAUGUUUCCACCCUUAAUGAAGCAGAACCUGCAGCUGUUUAAGGUGUGUGAAAUCCAGCACACUUUGCUGAAUAUCUCGCUGGCUCAGGUGGCCUUUAAUGGGAGGAUCAGAGGGGUGUCUGGUGGUCAGUUCAGGCUCCUGUGGCCAUGCCCCCCUCCUCCAGACCCAAAUCAUCCUCUUCUGGCUAAAGCAUGAGUGGAGGGUCCUGACCCCAAGGCAGAGAUGAACAGCAAUAAAGCAUUUUUUAAAAAAAUCUCUUUGUCUUGAAUUGGGCGCCCCGCUGGCACCAGAAAUUGGUUUGUUUCACCCUACAAAACAUUUUAGAAGGGGAACUUAGUGUGACUGACUUCUUCAGAACAUGUGUAGGUUUUGUGCUUCCAGGUCCAAAGCACCCCCCAUCACCCGGAUUUUCUCUCACGGGGCACAAUUGCAAACCAGCCAUUUAUUACAAGCUCUGAAAGUGGUCUGUUGUCUCUGUAGUGGGUUUCAUGUGACCGGCAGUAUAUGAAUAUCACAGGAUGCGAGUUUUCUUCCCAACCUUGAAAAAAAAAAAGUCCUCCCCUUUCUAAUUUUUCUCCUGCAGGACAAGGAAUAUCAGCCUGACCAAUGCAAACAUCUGCAUCAGCUUUCUGAAUUGAGUCCUUACCCCCCUCCUCUCUCUGGAAAGUAAACCAGCUUUGCACAUUAUCUUUAACCCCUAGAAAAACUAGCUUGGGUUGAACUCUUUCUGCCAUACGUGACCUUAAGUAAGUAAAUCCUUUGGAAUGGAGACAUUCUUCUGGAAAGUGACUUUUGUCCCUUGCAACUCAAGCUGAAGACAGCAAUAUAACAUCUCUGUUUUAUUGCUUAUUGUACCUAAUAUCCAGUGUGUUGGUCAGGCUUUGAGGUGAAUCUGCAUGAACACAUUCUGUCAGUGUAACACUGUUAUUUUCUCCCUCAUUUUUACUUUUUUUUUUUUUUUAAGUUUGGACAGCUGGGUCUCCUGUUUGCUUCUAGAUAUGGCGUAUUCUAUUGUUGUGGUACCAGCAGUGUUAGGGCAGGAGGUACAUGGUCCUUACAUAAACUGGAAAAAUCAAGUUGGGACUGUGAAACUGACAAGACCAGCUUCUCAAGAGCACCUAUUGUGAAACUGACUAGAGAGGGGCUGGAUGAGAAUUAAGGAAAAAAACUAACUUAACAUGGCACUCAAGAUAAGUCAAGAGGACCUUCCAUCCACUCACAAUGAUUGCAGAAGAAAUAAGGUGCUUUGUGUAUGGUAGUGUUGCAACAUCAGCAGGCUACAGGUCAAGACAAAAUGUGACCUUCCCAAUACAACAUCGGGAAUGCCCCAGAAAUAAAAUCCACUUCUUUUUAAUGAAUAUUCCAUUAAGAACUGUACUCCCAAAACAACAGCAUGGCCCUGGGCAGCUGGCAAGAUGGGCUUCGGGGGAGGCCUGGCAUGGUCUUCCGGCUUGAGCAAAGCCUUGGCAAGUGGCUCCCCUCCUCUCAAGUCCACGAAGAUUUAAACCCGGAUGCACAGGCUGAAAA
Long non-coding RNA from Candoia aspera, 2514 nucleotides. RefSeq lists it as uncharacterized. The record is from RefSeq and is a predicted model, not a curated record. Lineage: Eukaryota; Metazoa; Chordata; Lepidosauria; Squamata; Candoiidae. The transcript is spliced from 2 exons.